RNAcentral lists this ribosomal RNA (390 nucleotides) under uncultured Limnohabitans sp. RNAcentral's name for it is "bacterial SSU rRNA". It matches the Rfam family "Bacterial small subunit ribosomal RNA", at positions 1 to 402 of the family's 1533-position model. Lineage: Bacteria; Pseudomonadati; Pseudomonadota; Betaproteobacteria; Burkholderiales; Comamonadaceae. The record is from RNAcentral.
CUCGGAGUUUGAUCCUGGCUCAGAUUGAACGCUGGCGGAAUGCUUUACACAUGCAAGUCGAACGGUAGAGGGGGCAACCCCUUGAGAGUGGCGAACGGGUGAGUAAUGUAUCGGAACGUGCCCAGUCGUGGGGGAUAACGUAGUGAAAAUUACGCUAAUACCGCAUACGAUCUAAGGAUGAAAGCGGGGGAUCGCAAGACCCCGCGCGAUUGGAGCGGCCGAUAUCAGAUUAGGUAGUUGGUGAGGUAAAGGCUCACCAAGCCAACGAUCUGUAGCUGGUCUGAGAGGACGACCAGCCACACUGGAACUGAGACACGGUCCAGACUCCUACGGGAGCAACAGUGGGGAAUUUGGACAAUGGACGCAAGUCUGAUCCAGCCAUUCCCGCGU